RNAcentral lists this ribosomal RNA (1371 nucleotides) under uncultured bacterium. RNAcentral describes it as "bacterial SSU rRNA". It matches the Rfam family "Bacterial small subunit ribosomal RNA", at positions 28 to 1381 of the family's 1533-position model. The record is from RNAcentral.
GAUGAACGCUGGCGGCGUGCCUAAUACAUGCAAGUCGAGCGAACGGACGAGAAGCUUGCUUCUCUGAUGUUAGCGGCGGACGGGUGAGUAACACGUGGAUAACCUACCUAUAAGACUGGGAUAACUUCGGGAAACCGGAGCUAAUACCGGAUAAUAUUUUGAACCGCAUGGUUCAAAAGUGAAAGACGGUCUUGCUGUCACUUAUAGAUGGAUCCGCGCUGCAUUAGCUAGUUGGUAAGGUAACGGCUUACCAAGGCAACGAUGCAUAGCCGACCUGAGAGGGUGAUCGGCCACACUGGAACUGAGACACGGUCCAGACUCCUACGGGAGGCAGCAGUAGGGAAUCUUCCGCAAUGGGCGAAAGCCUGACGGAGCAACGCCGCGUGAGUGAUGAAGGUCUUCGGAUCGUAAAACUCUGUUAUUAGGGAAGAACAUAUGUGUAAGUAACUGUGCACAUCUUGACGGUACCUAAUCAGAAAGCCACGGCUAACUACGUGCCAGCAGCCGCGGUAAUACGUAGGUGGCAAGCGUUAUCCGGAAUUAUUGGGCGUAAAGCGCGCGUAGGCGGUUUUUUAGUCUGAUGUGAAAGCCCACGGCUCAACCGUGGAGGGUCAUUGGAAACUGGAAAACUUGAGUGCAGAAGAGGAAAGUGGAAUUCCAUGUGUAGCGGUGAAAUGCGCAGAGAUAUGGAGGAACACCAGUGGCGAAGGCGACUUUCUGGUCUGUAACUGACGCCGAUGUGCGAAAGCGUGGGGAUCAAACAGGAUUAGAUACCCUGGUAGUCCACGCCGUAAACGAUGAGUGCUAAGUGUUAGGGGGUUUCCGCCCCUUAGUGCUGCAGCUAACGCAUUAAGCACUCCGCCUGGGGAGUACGACCGCAAGGUUGAAACUCAAAGGAAUUGACGGGGACCCGCACAAGCGGUGGAGCAUGUGGUUUAAUUCGAAGCAACGCGAAGAACCUUACCAAAUCUUGACAUCCUUUGACAACUCUAGAGAUAGAGCCUUCCCCUUCGGGGGACAAAGUGACAGGUGGUGCAUGGUUGUCGUCAGCUCGUGUCGUGAGAUGUUGGGUUAAGUCCCGCAACGAGCGCAACCCUUAAGCUUAGUUGCCAUCAUUAAGUUGGGCACUCUAAGUUGACUGCCGGUGACAAACCGGAGGAAGGUGGGGAUGACGUCAAAUCAUCAUGCCCCUUAUGAUUUGGGCUACACACGUGCUACAAUGGACAAUACAAAGGGCAGCGAAACCGCGAGGUCAAGCAAAUCCCAUAAAGUUGUUCUCAGUUCGGAUUGUAGUCUGCAACUCGACUACGUGAAGCUGGAAUCGCUAGUAAUCGUAGAUCAGCAUGCUACGGUGAAUACGUUCCCGGGUCU